AAUCCCCUGCCGUGUUCGUGAUUGGAAGACGUUCUUUGUUCCAACAGCUAUCAAAAGGGAGCUGUCUCUGGUUUUGGUGAGCAUGUUCCGCUCUGACGGAAAAGCCUAAAGAAGCUAUCAUGGCGCCCACUUUUUUUAAUUGGUUCAAAGGCCUGCCAACACGGCGCUGGCGGGGGUAUU
Molecule: non-coding RNA, 180 nt
Filed under: uncultured Desulfobacteraceae bacterium
Lineage: Bacteria; Pseudomonadati; Thermodesulfobacteriota; Desulfobacteria; Desulfobacterales; Desulfobacteraceae
Description: 6S
Rfam family: 6S / SsrS RNA
About the family: E. coli 6S RNA was the first non coding RNA to be sequenced, but its function was unknown until recently. It consists of 184 nucleotides that fold into an extended hairpin structure with a large single-stranded internal bulge.
Source: RNAcentral